GCAAGUCGAGCGGACGGAUGGGAGCUUGCUCCCUGAAGUCAGCGGCGGACGGGUGAGUAACACGUGGGCAACCUGCCUGUAAGACUGGGAUAACUCCGGGAAACCGGGGCUAAUACCGGAUAAUUCUUCCCUUCACAUGAGGGGGAGCUGAAAGAUGGUUUCGGCUAUCACUUACAGAUGGGCCCGCGGCGCAUUAGCUAGUUGGUGAGGUAACGGCUCACCAAGGCGACGAUGCGUAGCCGACCUGAGAGGGUGAUCGGCCACACUGGGACUGAGACACGGCCCAGACUCCUACGGGAGGCAGCAGUAGGGAAUCUUCCGCAAUGGACGAAAGUCUGACGGAGCAACGCCGCGUGAGUGAUGAAGGUUUUCGGAUCGUAAAACUCUGUUGUCAGGGAAGAACAAGUGCCGGAGUAACUGCCGGCACCUUGACGGUACCUGGCCAGAAAGCCACGGCUAACUACGUGCCAGCAGCCGCGGUAAUACGUAGGUGGCAAGCGUUGUCCGGAAUUAUUGGGCGUAAAGCGCGCGCAGGCGGUUCCUUAAGUCUGAUGUGAAAGCCCACGGCUCAACCGU
This 576-nucleotide ribosomal RNA is filed under the name Bacillus sp. CSu4_29. Its description in RNAcentral is "bacterial SSU rRNA". It matches the Rfam family "Bacterial small subunit ribosomal RNA", at positions 57 to 616 of the family's 1533-position model. The record is from RNAcentral. Lineage: Bacteria; Bacillati; Bacillota; Bacilli; Caryophanales; Bacillaceae.